Molecule: small nuclear RNA, 18 nt
Filed under: Arabidopsis thaliana (thale cress)
Lineage: Eukaryota; Viridiplantae; Streptophyta; Magnoliopsida; Brassicales; Brassicaceae
Description: snRNA_16901
Source: RNAcentral
GACACAACUUGCAUUUCG